GGUUAUUGCUUCGAAUAAUAUCUGUAAUAAUAAUCCCAUAAUUAUCUGUAAAAAUGUGUGGGAGCUCGGCUAAUAUGUUUCUAUAGUAUUUAAGCGUCUACUAUUUAUGACAACAUAAACCGAAAUGGAAAUUAAGAUCAAAAUGUGUGAGUAUUGUGAUGGUGAUAUUGACCCAUGGGUCAAACACGAGAUGUCCCAUUUUGGUGUGCGCAUCAAAUUCAAUUUACAGAAGUGAUUUUAUAUACAUAGAAUAAUGCAUAUUAAAUGCAAGCACUUUAAUGUUUCAAAUAACUCAAAUGUGUGAAAUGUUCCAUCGUCAUAGUGCAUGAACAUAUAUGUAAAAAUGAAGCAACAUUCGUAUUACAAUUUCAAUUAUUUGUUUUUUUUAGGUCCUGCACUGGGAUAAAUGUUUGAUAGUCAUUUUUUUUUUUUUUUUUUUUUUGCUCAGAAAAAGAAAUGUUAUUAAUCCAGAGGACACAUUCUAAUGUAUGGAAACAUGUAAAGCUGUACUAAACAGCUCUUUGGUUCGAUGUUUGAAAACCCUUUUUCGUCUUUGACCCUUAUGCAACGGACUCGAAAAACAAUUCUUUGCAUUCAUUCAUUCACCAGGCUUUCAGUUUAACGAAAACAGAAGAAGCCACGCUUAGAUGAGUAAAUUAAUUAUUGAAGACAUCACGCACUAAAAAUAAGAGGUUCGCCACGUGCGCACCACAUGUGACCAAUUUCCUCACGCAUUAAAAUCGUUCUUUUCUAACGACAUCUAACUUACAGCAGCUCACGUAGACCUCGAGUCAAAGUAUUAAAAUAUAAUCCACAAACUCUCUUGACCUUAGUUUGUAAGGCUGGUACUUUACUCACUACAAAAAAAAAAAAAAAAAAAAAACUUGUCGGAUGGACGAGGCGUGUCUAAUGAAUAUUUAAUAAGUUUACCUUCUCGCCGUCCAAUGGUGAAGGCGUCGGCUCCUGAAUAUUAAGUGGAAUUCGAAACUUCUCGGGGCGGCGCUCACUAUUGACGUCAUCUCCCCCCGCCCUGCGUGUCAGUUCCACGCUACUGUCUUCUUGUGAAUGGGUCAAGAGACUAAACAAACAGAAAGCUACCCGGUCUCUCGGUUUUAAACGGUCAGCCCAUGUCCUUCCGUUCAUUCCGGACUGUCAGAUAACGGACCUGUCACGCGCCGACACACCAAGAACUCUCAAAUUUGGCCUCACGUUCACCCAAAGAUCUGGCCAGCUGAGGUUAAGCAAAGUGAGUCUCGUCUGGAUUUUCAGUGGAAGUUCUCAAAGGUGUUUUGUGAAGGUUUAAUGGCACUUUCUUUAAGCCUGGUGUAAACGAGUCGUGGAGUAGCCGUGUGUGUCAGUCACACUAGAAAAGCAUGAUUGUGAAGUUCAUUCAAAUGUAUUUUUGUUUAUGGGACUUUAAAUGACCCAUAUUGUUGGAAUUGUAACUUUUGAUUGUAGUAACUGGAAUUUUGUGGCUAACAUCAUGAAAAAUAUAUAUACCAUAUAUUAGACAAAAUCCAUCCAAAAGAAUGAAUACUUUCAAAACAAGAAGUGGCCUCUGAGUCUGGCGAAAGCUGCUUUUGUGUCUGAUUUUCUGUUAUUUUCACAAAACUUGUAUUAUUAAUUUAAGCGGGUGAGAAUAUUUAAAUCAUGUGGACAGAAAAAUACAAAAAAACUUCCCGCAAAAUGUUUUCAUGAUGUAUCACAAUGAAUAUUCAAUGGACGUGGCAAAAAUAUUGAAUUCAUAGUGCUGAAAAUGAUAAAUGCUUGUAUUAAUUAAGAUUGGGAUAUUGAUUAAUUUUGGCGGCUGUAUGCUUCCAGAUUUUUGUAUGCUUCCCUUUUGCAUUUCUCCUUGAGGACUCAUACAGGGUGGAUGUGAAACACUCGAUGUGAUACAAAUCAAAGAUUGUGUUGGUUUAUACUGUUGGAGGUAACAUUUUCUUUUGGUGGAAACAUGGCUGAAAUUUAAGAAUUGGUUUGGUGGUGGUUUGCUGGAAACCUGCUGUUGUGUAAAUCUCAAAGAUAGUCGU
This is a long non-coding RNA of Cyprinus carpio (common carp), 2030 nucleotides long. NCBI's taxonomy places the organism in Eukaryota, Metazoa, Chordata, Actinopteri, Cypriniformes, Cyprinidae. The record is from Ensembl.